GAAAUGCGAUAAUUAAUGUGAAUUGCAGAAUUCAGUGAAUCAUCGAGUCUUUGAACGCACAUUGCACCCCCUGGUAUUCCGGGGGGUAUGCCUGUCCGAGCGUCAUUGCUGCCCUCAAGCCCGGCUUGUGUGUUGGGUCCUCGUCCCCCCCCGGGGGACGGGCCCGAACGGCAGCGGCGGCACCGCGUCCGGUCCUCGAGCGUAUGGGGCUUUGUCACACCGCUCUCGUAGGCCCGGCCGGCGCUGGCCGACGCUGAAAAGCAACCAUUAUUUCUCCAGGUUGACCUCGGAUCAGGUAGGGAUACCCGCUGAACUUAAGC
Molecule: unclassified non-coding RNA, 320 nt
Filed under: plant metagenome
Description: partial contains 5.8S ribosomal RNA, internal transcribed spacer 2, and large subunit ribosomal RNA
Rfam family: 5.8S ribosomal RNA (bases 1-105)
Source: RNAcentral